UGGGGAAUAUUGGACAAUGGGCGAAAGCCUGAUCCAGCCAUGCCGCGUGGGUGAAGAAGGCCUUCGGGUUGUAAAGCCCUUUUGUUGGGGAAGAAAUCCUGCUGGCUAAUACCCGGCGGGGAUGACGGUACCCAAAGAAUAAGCACCGGCUAACUUCGUGCCAGCAGCCGCGGUAAUACGAAGGGUGCAAGCGUUGUCCGGAAUUAUUGGGCGUAAAGAGCUCGUAGGCGGUCUGUCGCGUCUGUCGUGAAAGCCCACGGCUUAACUGUGGGUCUGCGGUGGAUACGGGCAGGCUAGAGGCAGGUAGGGGAGCAUGGAAUUCCCGGUGUAGCGGUGAAAUGCGCAGAUAUCGGAGGAACACCGGUGGCGAAGGCGGUGCUCUGGGCCUGUUCUGACGCUGAGGAGCGAAAGCGUGGGGAGCGAACAGGAUUAGAUACC
Molecule: ribosomal RNA, 438 nt
Filed under: uncultured bacterium
Lineage: Bacteria
Description: bacterial SSU rRNA
Rfam family: Bacterial small subunit ribosomal RNA
Source: RNAcentral